This is a long non-coding RNA of Acipenser ruthenus (sterlet), 765 nucleotides long. RefSeq lists it as uncharacterized. Lineage: Eukaryota; Metazoa; Chordata; Actinopteri; Acipenseriformes; Acipenseridae. The record is from RefSeq and is a predicted model, not a curated record. The transcript is spliced from 3 exons.
AAUGCAUUAUUAAGACCUCAUCUAGAAUAUUGUGUUCAGUUCUGGUCACCUCGUUACAAAAAGGAUAUUGCUGCUCUAGAAAGAGCAACCAGAAUUAUCCCGGAUUUAAAAGGCAUGACGUAUGCAUACAGGCUAAAAGAAUUGAAUCUAUUCAGUCUUGAACAAAGAAGACUACGCGGUGAUCUGAUUCAAGCAUUCAGAAUUCUAAAAGGUAUCGACAAUGUCGACCCAGGGGACUUUUUUGACCUGAAAAAAGAAACAAGGACCAGGGGUCACAAAUGGAAAUUAGAUAAAGGGGCAUUCAGAACAGAAAAUAGAAAAUAACUUUUUUACACAGAGAAUUGUGAAGGUCUGGAACCAACUCCCUAGUAAUGUUGUUGAAGCUGACACCCUGGGAUCCUUCAAGAAGCUGCUGGAUGAGAUUCUGGAAUCAAUAAGCUACUAACAACCAAACGAGCAAGAUGGUCCGAAUGGCCUCCUCUCAUUGGUUUUACCCAACAAGGCAGACCCCUUUCACAGACAACAGGAACAACCAGCAGCCCCACAUCCUGUGAUCGCAGAGUGCGAUUCGGAAGAUACGGGGUCAGUAACUCCUGCAAAUAACUAGGUGCUAAUCCAUUCAGGGCCUUGUAAGUUAACAGCAAAACCUUAAAAUCAAUUCUAUACUGCACAGGGAACCAGUGUAAAGAGGCUAAAACAGGGGUAAUAUGUUCACUUUUUCUUUUUGUGAUCGAUUGUUUUUAUUUUCCAUCAAAACAGCUUAUA